CGUUCGGAUACAUUUCAGGCUACGCUAAAAAAUGCUAAAUCUAAAGGAAUAAAAAAUAUAUCUUAGUCUUUUUGUUGCUUCAGAGCUUUCUGCAUAAAAUGGUUUAUAAUUAAAUGCGUUAAAUUUAUAUUACUAGGAAAUAUUUACAAAUAAAAUAAAAUAGAGAACAGCCGCGAACAUCACUACAGCGUAGCUUUUACGAACAUACAAAAGAAUGUGGUAAUUCUUCAAAAUGGUCGCUUUGUAUGGUUUGCCAACUUGCAUGUCUGUGUUUCAGAGUUCUUUGUUUUCGUAAUUCAUUUGAUAUUAAAACGGUUAUACAAAAGUUCUUUCAAUUUCGGCGUUAUAAGUUUCGAGUGUAAAAGUCAAUAACGAAAAUACCAGCUUGUGGUGUGCGAGAAAGAUGUCAUCGGUAAUGUGAGAGCUCUCGGACAGAAUUUUUAUUUUACGAGAUUAUGACGUUUGUGAUUCUAAUACGGAUUUGCAGAAAGUGAAAAAGUGUCUGUGCUAUAGAAACACAUGUUACACAUUGUGAUGAACGGACAAUGUUGACAUACAUUUGACCAGUGGAUAUAGAAGCGAGACUUGUCGGCAAAA
Molecule: long non-coding RNA, 597 nt
Organism: Manduca sexta (tobacco hornworm)
Lineage: Eukaryota; Metazoa; Arthropoda; Insecta; Lepidoptera; Sphingidae
Exons: 2
Source: RefSeq, a predicted model, not a curated record